Molecule: non-coding RNA, 90 nt
Filed under: Pseudomonas fluorescens
Lineage: Bacteria; Pseudomonadati; Pseudomonadota; Gammaproteobacteria; Pseudomonadales; Pseudomonadaceae
Also listed under: 1 other name
Source: RNAcentral
UGUGGGAGCGAGCUUGCUCGCGAUGGCGACGGCACAGUCAGCAUCUCCAGCAACUGACUCACCGCUAUCGCGAGCAAGCCCGCUCCCACA